CAGUAGCCGCGGUAACACCGAGGGUGCGAGCGUUAAUCGGAUUUACUGGGCGUAAAGCGUGCGUAGGCGGCUUAUUAAGUCGGAUGUGAAAUCCCUGAGCUUAACUUAGGAAUUGCAUUCGAUACUGGGAAGCUAGAGUAUGGGAGAGGAUGGUAGAAUUCCAGGUGUAGCGGUGAAAUGCGUAGAGAUCUGGAGGAAUACCGAUGGAGAAGGCAGCCAUCUGGCCUAAUACUGACGCUGAGGUACGAAAGCAUGGGGAGCAAACAGGAUUAGAUACCCCUGUAGUCCCUGUCUCUUAUAC
This 301-nucleotide ribosomal RNA is filed under the name uncultured bacterium. RNAcentral describes it as "partial 16S ribosomal RNA". It matches the Rfam family "Bacterial small subunit ribosomal RNA", at positions 509 to 807 of the family's 1533-position model. The record is from RNAcentral.